RNAcentral lists this long non-coding RNA (1398 nucleotides) under Heterocephalus glaber (naked mole-rat). Its description in RNAcentral is "lncRNA (ENSHGLG00000043712.1)". The record is from RNAcentral. Lineage: Eukaryota; Metazoa; Chordata; Mammalia; Rodentia; Bathyergidae.
GGCCCAUUCCCACUUCCUCUCUCUUUAGAGACUAAGCAAGGACCUCUCCCAGAGGACACAAUCUCCGCACUAAGCUCUCAGGCAGCCGGGAUUGCAAGAAGGAAGAGCAGAGAAAUGAGCCUCCAGAGCGGGAUCCCAAGGGUGUCUCCAGGUGGCUGUGGGUACUGCUUGCUCUGCUGGUUGCUGUCCAAAUCUGGUGCUCAGUGGAGGCAGAGGUGUGGGCCUCGGGGGAGCAGAGGCCGCCAGUGCUGCCAGGGGCCUUUCAUUACUCAUUGCUAAUUGUGGCAAAUGGGGAUUUUAUUGCUCCCUUGGCCCUCACUGUGAGCUACAGCAGCUCCUUGACAAGGAGGUGGAAGACCAGCCUGGGAGACCCUGCCUGGCUGCUGCAUUCAGCCCUGCACACGAGCCUGGGUCCAACAGCCAUCUGGAUGAGGUGGUGGGAGUCCUCAGCAUGGGCCAUUCAUAUUGAGAUAACACCCGGACACCCACGGCUCUCAGUAAGUGCUCACUGCUCUGCUGUAUUGGUGGUUCCUGCAGAGCUGCAGAGAGGACAGGGACUCCUCACUAUCCCAUAAGAGAAGCCAAGCCCAGAUGUGAGCUGGACGAGACAAUUUGUUCCCUGGAAGAAGGAACCUGGUCCAGUCUGUCCCCUGCCAUGUCCACAGUGCAGACUUGAGUACAUGGCUAAUCAUUGGCCAAGUGACCUUGAUGAACACGUGUUAAACAAGCAAAUUUUAUGUCUCUUAGCCUCCCUUUUCUCAUCUUGGACAUGGGGUUAAAGUCGACCUUGUGGGAUUGUUGCAAUUUAAAUGAAUGCUUAGCACAAUGCCUAGACCCUGGUGAGUACUCAGUAAAUCACUGCCAUUCCUAUUAGUGUGGUUCACAAGGGGCUCAUGAGGUUUUCCAAGCAACUGAGAGAAGUGACACAUUUGCUCGGCAGUGCUUGGCAGUGGCCCCAGGGAAAGCAAAUCAGACAGGAACCAGGAAAAACAAUCCGGAAGCUGCUGGAAGAGAAAGGAAGGUCUAGGAAGGAGGUGUGGAUCUUAGGACUUGGAACAGCUACCAGAGGAACCUCAGUAGUAGGAGAUUCUGCUGUACUUUGCUCCACAGAGUAAGGGUAUAGUGGAUAGAAGAGGACCCCAAGCCUGAGCAGCGCUAGAAACUCCAAGGAGGACUGGAGAACACAGCUGAACCUGACCUGCGUUCCCACACCAGCGCCGGGCCUCCACAUCUGGAAGACGUAGCCAGCUCUGCAUUUCAGACAGCCCUUGUGGUGACAAAGGGUGGCUUGUCAUUUGUUUCAGGUGAUAUACUUUUAAUUAAAAUGAUAAUCAUUUGAGCAUCCCUUAAAGUUUUACUCUGGGAAUUUGCCUUCUUGCAAGCUCUGCCUUAAUUAGC